GUGUGACUUAAGUGUCCAAAUACUUCUUGGGUCCUUGGUAUUCAGGCAUGUGGCCUGGCAGUAAUUAUAAGUGAUGCAGUUGCACUAAAGGGUCGGUAGAGGGCCCCGCAGAGCCCCAGUCAGCCACAAAAUCCACAUGACGCUGCACCCAAAUGGAAACCAUCAGCUUCGAGGACAUGCAUUCCAGCUCCUCAGAUCCUGUUCUUCAUCCCUCUGACACACUCUGCACAUGAAGAUCAAUGGAGCCAAGGACAGCGUGUAAGGGGAUCCAGGGCCAAGGAGGAGAGCAGAGUUGUGUUUUAUUUGUUCACAUGUGGCGCAGCCCCGUUUGAUUUGACCCUCUCUGGUUUCAUUCAUCCGGAAAAUCUGCUGUGCGUGAGUAAAACCUGAGGGAGUGGGUCUCACUUGAUACUCGGAUGUAAUUAGGAACUGCCAGUCAUGUUAAAGGGAUAAUCUACCCAGAAAUUAAAAUUCUGCCAUCACUCAC
Molecule: long non-coding RNA, 487 nt
Organism: Rhinichthys klamathensis goyatoka
Lineage: Eukaryota; Metazoa; Chordata; Actinopteri; Cypriniformes; Leuciscidae
Exons: 2
Source: RefSeq, a predicted model, not a curated record